CUACGGAUCAUCCACAUGAAGUUUUCGAUCUGAUCGACUCCUCACAAGUGCUAGCUCGUUGUAGAGCCCUUUCGACGGCCGAUGCUGAUCGAACUCCUUCGACCAAUGUCUGCCAAUUCUUUGGAUGCUCUGAAUCAUCAGCAGACAUGCUUGAGAGGAUGAUGAAGAUCUCUCUAAAAUUUGGUGGGUCACGAUACUCG
Molecule: long non-coding RNA, 200 nt
Filed under: Elaeis guineensis (African oil palm)
Lineage: Eukaryota; Viridiplantae; Streptophyta; Magnoliopsida; Arecales; Arecaceae
Description: long non-coding RNA (EGUI_LNC081989)
Source: RNAcentral